This is a long non-coding RNA of Contarinia nasturtii (swede midge), 2682 nucleotides long. RefSeq lists it as uncharacterized. The transcript has 2 exons. NCBI's taxonomy places the organism in Eukaryota, Metazoa, Arthropoda, Insecta, Diptera, Cecidomyiidae. The record is from RefSeq and is a predicted model, not a curated record.
CAAUUGCCAUAUUUCUUUCUUGUACCAGAUGUUGAAGCUGACGAAGCUGAUGAAGCUGAUGGAGAAUCCGUUUUACUUGGGCCUUGUUGUUGUUGAGUUUGUGGUGAAGGUUUUUGUUGAGAUUGUUGUUGAGAUUGUUGUUGAGGUGUUACAGAUAAGAAUAAUUUCCAUCUACCAAUUUUAAGUUUUAUAUUUUCGAGACUUGUGAUUACGUUUUGUACCUGGCUCGAAUUAUAAUUCAGUAGUGACAAAUUUUUUUUGGAAUUAUCCUCCGCACUAUAAAAAAAUCGAAUUUUUUAAUAGGGUACUAUCACACAAUUUUUGUUUCAUACACACCAGUCAACCAAUAUAUGCAAAUUUAUAUUUAUGACGUUAAUUCAUGUAAUUUGAUUAGGUAACUUAUUAGAAAAAUGACUUACCAAAGCCCUUCGGCCCUUUUUCCAGCAAAAUCGGCGAGUCCACGGUUCAAAUCGGCGAUUAUUUUUUCUGGAGACGUUGGAAACAAAGUUUUCGGGCGAGUUAAAUGAAAUUUUCUGUGUUUUUGUUGUAUUCUUUGUUGGUUUUCUUGUUUUCUUUUUAAAAAAAUACCUGAGUCGGAAUCAUUUUCUGACAUUUUAUUUAAUUUUUUAUAGACUAUAUACUCAGGAUUACAUGGCCUGGAAAUGCCUAUGUAAUUUACAUAUAAACGAGUGAGACUCAAACAUGUUCUUCUUUUUCCAUCAAAUAUACCAGUGGCGCCACCAAUUUUACAUAUAAGCGCAUACAAAAUUUUCAAUAUGGCUGCGCCCAUGAGAGAGAAAAUUUCGUCUCAUUCAUUUCCGCCCCAUGCAGGAUUAUUUCAAAUCACCAAAAUUCUACGACGAUGACAAAGCUGUCUUCACAUUCAAUUGUUUCGCAGUAGCUGACAUUAUGACUACCAUUUAAAAAAAAUUCUGAGUCGUCUCCAUUACAUACACAUCGUACCAAUACCAUCAAAUCGCUGUUAUGAAUCGUAUGCCUUGGUGAAUGAAGAAAGAGAUGGUAUGAGUGUGUUGGUGUGCAUUUGUGUGUAUUAUAUUUGCCUUCAAACGUUCACAUUUGUCAUUUUGCAUUCUUUCCGUGUAAUGUACCAGAUUCAAAUGGAUAGAGCGUGUGAAGUAUACAAAUGAUUGUAUUUAUCAUUAAACUCUUGCGUGUGUUGUGUAUAGACUUCGCACGGUUCACAAAUACAUUGCACAACAACAAACAACACAUAACUAACUUCACAUUAAACCAGUCCAAAAAUAAACUUUCUUCAAAAAUAUUCGUUGUCGAAUGCAUGUAAACACAUUAAGAUGUUUUAUUUUGUUAUAAAAUGAGGAGUAAAUAAAUGUGUUUAUGUUGCAAAAAAUGACAAAAUUUCAGUUCGCGUUCAGUUACGUUUUACCUCAAAAAAUCAAAAUGGAAUGCAUUGCUGUUGUAAUUCGGAAUAAUGAUACAUUUCAUUUUAAUUUCUUUCUUUUGUAGGAAUUAUGUAUUUGCUGCAGCCAUGGCGUAUUUGAAAUUACACUGGAAGAUGGAAAGAAGUCCACCAAAAUACUGAGAUGAAAAGCACGAAGUAUUGAUUAAAUAUAUCGAAGAAGUUCAUCGCGGUGUAUUUGGAUAUGUUCGAAGUUCGAUCGGAAAUCAAUUUAAAAUGCCCCAAUCACGAUUCAAAAUAACACUCAUGUCACUUAUACGUGGAAGACGGGCGAAUUUUGGAGAUUAUUACUAUCGGGACGAUACAAUAUAACAUUCGAAGCGGAAGGUUUUGAAUCUCACACCUGAACAUUACAAUUACUGAACAGGAUAAAAUAUUGAGAUACGAUAUCAGUCUAAUGCAUGACGACCCGCAACAUUGGUCGUCCGCGUACGAUUAUCGAAUUCUUCACAAUGUCAUACAGGCGAGAUAUCACACCGAUGAUCAAAUAAACCAAACCUUUGCUGAAAUUGAGCGAAAGUUCGGGACAAUUGCCAACUUUGAAGCAAAUGAAAACGAGAUAUCGAUUGACUUUCCAUCUUUAACCCUUACAGCAGAUGUAAGGCCGUGACUUGGCCACAUGCGCACGGUUUUUUGAUCAGGGGGGAGUCAAAUUGACUUUGGUCCCGAGGGGGGGGAAAGGGGUAUUUAUAUGGAAAACUAAAAUACAAAUUUUGCAUGAGAGAAACAAGCAAAAAUGUGUGUUGGCGAGCGAAGCGAGGCGAAAUUUUGCAAGUUUGACUUCAAAGUCAGUUUAUUUAUACAUUUAUAUUGCAAAUCUGAGAAAAAAAAAUUCUCAGAGGGGGUCAAACCGGUAAAUCUCCUAAAAAUUUAAACGGGGGUAAAUUUUGAAAAAUUUGCCUCAGGUGGGGGUCAAACCGGAAAACCCCCCAGCGCGCAUGUGUGCCGUGAAAUGGCUGUGAAUUUGGCACGACAUGUUGUUGUCGGUUAUUCGCUGCAAGAUCCACCAUUAAUUCGUUUAUUGAAGAAUUCGGUGCUGCAUUUCAUACCGUUUACUUAUGAUUUCAAAUUCGUUCUCGGUCAAUUCUCAAGCAACCAAAGUGUAUUGUCAAUACAAUAUACAAUAUGAAACAGUGUCCCACCAGAAUGAUUGUUCUUUGAAUAUUCAAACAAUUAUACAAUUUAAUUGUUUUACAAAACUACUGUAUUUUACAUUAAAAAAAUAAAUACAAAAAAUCUUUCGA